UUCAUGGAGAGUUUGAUCCUGGCUCAGGACGAACGCUGGCGGCGUGCCUAAUACAUGCAAGUCGAGCGGACCGACGGGAGCUUGCUCCCUUAGGUCAGCGGCGGACGGGUGAGUAACACGUGGGUAACCUGCCUGUAAGACUGGGAUAACUCCGGGAAACCGGGGCUAAUACCGGAUGCUUGAUUGAACCGCAUGGUUCAAUUAUAAAAGGUGGCUUUCAGCUACCACUUACAGAUGGAUCCGCGGCGCAUUAGCUAGUUGGUGAGGUAACGGCUCACCAAGGCAACGAUGCGUAGCCGACCUGAGAGGGUGAUCGGCCACACUGGGACUGAGACACGGCCCAG
Molecule: ribosomal RNA, 344 nt
Filed under: Robertmurraya crescens
Lineage: Bacteria; Bacillati; Bacillota; Bacilli; Caryophanales; Bacillaceae
Description: bacterial SSU rRNA
Rfam family: Bacterial small subunit ribosomal RNA
Source: RNAcentral